CCAACCCUGAGGUCCACAAGGACGAGCAAAUUCUACAGCUCUUCUUUUUCCAUGCUCUGGUUCAGAAAUGGGUCACACAUAUUCAAUGCUCUUUAACUAUUUGUUGAAAUCGGAAAGAUUCAAUUACCUUCUGACUCAGUCCUUUUUUGAGUUUGCAGCCAGCCUUCAUAGUCACUCAUGUCCUUGACAAGGGAUGGUUCUCAUCUAUCUGGGAGGGUUAAACACUUCGACCAAAUGAACAAUCUGGGGAGGAAUGAACAGAAGAUUUGAACAGGGAAGAGGAUACCUGACAACAUCUAUAAUACUUCAGUUACACGUGUGAUCAGAACAAAGAUCCUUGCCUGCCUGGAGCUUACAUUCCAAAGACUGAGUCUCGCUCUUUCUCCCAGGCUGGAGUGCUGGGGCGGGAUCUCGACUCACUGCAAGCUCCGCCUCCCGGGUUCACGCCAUUCUCCUGCCUCAGCCUCCUCCCGAGUAGCUGGGACUACAGGCGCCCGCUACGACGCCCGGCUAAUUUUUUGUAUUUUCAGUAGAGACGGGGUUUCACCAUGUUGGCCAGGAUGGUCUCGAUUUCUUGACCUCGUGAUCCACCCGCCUCGACCUCCCAAAGUGCUGGGAUUACAAGCGUGAGCCACCGUGCCCGGCCGAGAGAGUAAAUUUCAACUGUGCUAUUUUAUCUACAUUACCUACUUCUUUCUAGUGCACUAGUUAGAUCACUGGUUUCUGUCAUAUCAUUAUUGUUUCACAUUGUGUGGUCCACAUGGAAUUAGGUGACUAGCUUUAAUCACAGCUGUCAAUACUUCCCAUCAACUUGUAUCCUGAUAUUAUUAAUGAAUGACAUUUCAGCAUCCUAUGAUACAGUAUCUAUUACUGGUUCUUGAAAUUCCUGCUUUUCUAAGUUUACCUGUUGUUUGUUCUAAAACAUACUGUGGCUCUGAGAAGCCACAUACAACUUUAUUUUUGAGGGUUUUUUUGUAGGUGCUUCCUCUCAUUUAAAGAUUUCAGAACAGAGGGAUGCUUUAAAUGCUAUUUUAUUGAUACAAAACACUAAGAGGCCUCCGAUUUUGGUAUCUAUUAAUUAUGUAUUUUAAGAAGAAGAUGCAGUUAACUAAUCCAUUAUUGCUGACAUUUUCAUCUGGGUGCAACCUGAUUUUCGUCAUGUAGACCUUAUUGAAGUUUAGAGAGAUGGUUCUUCUUCUCCCCAGUUUCUUACAAAAUUUACUUUAUUUAGCAGAAGGAACCAUUUUUUUUACUUUUUCUGUUUUAUAGUAUAUUUCAGAAAACAGAAUAAUUAUUUUACAGAAUCUAACUAUAUAUGUGCUAUUGUAGUUUCCUUUUACACAUAACAUUACAAUAAACUUAUUGAGAGGAGAUAAUUUAUUGUCCAUGGAUAGAAUUGCUGUUUCUAAAUCUAAAACCUUAUUUCUUUUACCAAAUAUAAUUUGACUUGUUGCUAUUUUGCUGCACUUACAUGGGCAAAGAAACUGCAUUAUUUAAUUUCAAUAAAUUAUUGCAUACUUGUAUGUCUACAAAUAUACAAGUAUUAUACAUUUUAUAUAACUGUCCAUGCAUAAUUGAAUAACAGCAUUAAAAAGAGGAUAUUAUUUAUGCCAUUCCACCACUUCUGAAAAGGAUUGCAAAAAAACUUUAUAGUGGCAAAACAAAUAACUCAUUAAUUUUUUUAUGUGGUUUUUAAAUUUUUUUAAUUUUUAUUAUACUUUAAGUUCUGGGUUACAUGUGCAGAACGUGCAGUUUUGUUACAUACGUAUACACGAGCCCUGGUGUUUUGCUGAACCCAUCCACCCAUCAUCUACAUUAGAUAUUUCUCCUAAUGUUAUCCCUCCCGUAGACCCCCUUCCCCCGACAGGCCCCAGUAUAUGAUGUUCCCCUCCCUGUGUCCACAUAUUCUCAUUGUUCAACUCCCACUUAUGAGUGAGAACAUGCAAUGUUUGGUUUUCUGAUCUUGUGAUAGUUUGCUGAGAAUGAUGGUUUCCAGCUUCAUCCAUGUCCCUGCAAAGGACACAAACUCAUCCUUUUU
Molecule: long non-coding RNA, 2038 nt
Filed under: Homo sapiens (human)
Lineage: Eukaryota; Metazoa; Chordata; Mammalia; Primates; Hominidae
Description: HSALNT0133498
Source: RNAcentral